Molecule: long non-coding RNA, 436 nt
Filed under: Homo sapiens (human)
Lineage: Eukaryota; Metazoa; Chordata; Mammalia; Primates; Hominidae
Description: HSALNT0278097
Source: RNAcentral
CUCACAGUGGCCUCCACAGCUCCCCAAGGUUCUGGCCACAUCCCCAGGCUUAAGGAAGAGGAAAAGAAAGUUCCCCUCGUGCCUCAGACCCCAGCUCUGCACUUGGUCCACCAUCCCCACCAGCGAUGUCAGGAAAAUGCCUCGCCAGCAACCCAGCGCUCACCUCUGCCUGUGCUUCCCCUCAUCCACAUCGCAAUUGUUUCAGUGUGGGGUUAAGAGCUGAAGGACAGGAUGCCCCCUUCCCCAGGAGCUGCUGGGGCUUUCGCUGGGCGUGUGCCUACCCACCCACCCACUGUGAGCUGUUGACUUGGUGAUGUGCAUUCCCUGGGAGAGGCCGUCUCACUUGUUUCCUCUCUGGGAUUCCUCCUUGGAGUGCUGGAAGGUGAGAGGGAGUGAGGAGCAGGCAGGGGCUGGGGCUGAUGGACACCCAGGGAAG